CAAAUCAUCAUGCCCCUUAUGACCUGGGCUACACACGUGCUACAAUGGUUGGUACAACGAGUUGCGAGUCGGUGACGGCGAGCUAAUCUCUUAAAGCCAAUCUCAGUUCGGAUUGUAGGCUGCAACUCGCCUACAUGAAGUCGGAAUCGCUAGUAAUCGCGGAUCAGCACGCCCGCGGUCGAAUAGUUCCGGCCUU
RNAcentral lists this ribosomal RNA (196 nucleotides) under uncultured Streptococcus sp. RNAcentral's name for it is "partial 16S ribosomal RNA". It matches the Rfam family "Bacterial small subunit ribosomal RNA", at positions 1186 to 1374 of the family's 1533-position model. The record is from RNAcentral. Lineage: Bacteria; Bacillati; Bacillota; Bacilli; Lactobacillales; Streptococcaceae.